This 255-nucleotide ribosomal RNA is filed under the name uncultured bacterium. RNAcentral's name for it is "partial 16S ribosomal RNA". It matches the Rfam family "Bacterial small subunit ribosomal RNA", at positions 524 to 776 of the family's 1533-position model. The record is from RNAcentral.
UACAGAGGGUGCGAGCGUUUAAUCGGAAUUACUGGGCGUAAAGCGCGCGUAGGCGGCUUUGCAAGCCGGAUGUGAAAUCCCCCGGGCUUAACCUGGGAACUGCAUUCGGGACUGCAUUGCUAGAGUAUGGGAGAGGGAAGUGGAAUUUCAGGUGUAGCGGUGAAAUGCGUAGAUAUCUGAAGGAACAUCAGUGGCGAAAGCGACUUCCUGGACCAAUACUGACGCUCAUGUGCGAAAGCGUGGGGAGCAAACAGG